AUCGAUGUUGUCUAUCUGGUUUUAGUGUCGGCCACAAAACUUAAUUUCCUUUAUAUUAAGUCUUAUAAAUAAUUAAAAUACGAUGUAAUACGUUAAUUUUUCAACAACGGUGGUACAUUUAAGAUACCAACAUUUUUAUUCGUUAUUUUACAAUCGAUAAAUAUUGUAGUGUUGUAAAAUGUUAAAACUAUUUAAUGAACAAAUAUUAAUAUAAAAAACUCAUUCCGUGCAUGCGCGCGGGUUAUCAUCUAAUCUAAACUAUACUAAAAGCACAAUAUAAAGCCCUAUGAAGCCCUCCACGUCGGAUAGAAAAAACGACCAAUAGUAAUGCAGCAAACAGCCACGUCAUCUGUCAUCUUCGAUUUAUUUUGUUUUGGGCUUAGUUUGUUUUCGGCCUGUUUUUCUGCAUCUUAUAGAUGAGUAUUGUUUGCGUUUUGUUACGUUUUGUUUCGACUGAAUAUGGGCUUUCGCAUUUACAUUAUAUUAUAAGCCCAAGAAACUCAUCCGUAAAAGAAGAUGACGUCUCCUCUUCACUUUGUUUUUACCUUUCACUCUAGCAACCCUAGCCAUACUGAUUCCCUCCCCACUCGAUUCAGCUGAGAAACGGCAGUCGUAAUGGCACUCAAGCCUCAAUCUCCACUACUUCAUCUUCAAUGCUUCUUUUCUUCAUCUUCAAGCUCUCAGCAUGGCGUAUAUAUAUAGAGGGUUUGGCAGUCUUAGCCCCAUCUAUUUGGUCUGCCUUUAGUCGUAGAACCCUAAAUCUCUCUCACCAGAAUCCUAUAAGCACCAACUUCGGUUCUCAGAAGGUCGCAAUGUCAAGAAAGGUGGAGAGUUGAUGGAUGUCGAUCUGGUCGUGCUAAUGGAAAGAUCUCUGAUAAGUCAUUCAGGACUCGAGGGGUUUCUGAUGGUUGCUAUGCCGCUGUAGUUAUGAUACUUCGUCUCUUGCAUCUGAGAAUGUCUCACGGGUUAUUCUUUUGUUCAUGGUCAACUCUGAUCCAGGGACCUUAUCCUGAUGGAGUUUUUCUGCUUCUGCAAUUACGACCACCUCAUAUUGAUGGCCAGUCAGUUCUGAAUUCUUUGACAGUAUCAGAACUUAAUUCAUGUGUUCUCAAAUUCCCAUCCGCAGUAAAAUUCUAAACAUGGAAUUGCACAUCCAAUUUAUACAUCUCAAGGGUCACAAAACCUGAGGGUUUGUGUUAGGAAAGAGUGUGCUAAAAGAAGCUGUUGGAUUGGAAAAGGAUGACAAGGGAACAAAGGGAGAUAGAAUCAAUGAAGAGAGCCAAUUCAAUGGAAUAGUUUUGUGGUGACAAAGCCAGGACAGGCUGCUCUCUUGACCAAAUUGUGAUACACAACAAAUUUGUUUCGUGCAGACUAUUACGUCAGAUGAUCAGAGAAACAACAGCUCACAUGUGAAAACUGAUACAGAGAGAAAUAUCUCACCUAUGCAUUUUUGGAGGCUCCUUUUGCACAUACAUCUCAACCUUGGCGACUGGUUUCAUUCCGCAGCUCCUGCAAAUAUAUUUGUUGUAUGGAGUAUAUUACUAUCAAUCUUCUUCCCAAUGUCUUUAUGUUUGAGACUGUUAAACCCCGUUUUAGUAAUCUGUGAUUCUAUUUCAUCUCUCGAGAUUACUUUGUUUUAUGAAUGCUUUUCCAUAUUUAGAGUGAGAGAGAUAAGCAAAGUUGUGAAAUGUUAUUUAGAUGACAUGUAUUUAAAUGAUUAUUAAACUUAUGUAUAAUUUUAUUUUACAAUACACUGAAAUAGUUUUAGUGUCA
This is a long non-coding RNA of Brassica napus (rape), 1773 nucleotides long. RefSeq lists it as uncharacterized. Lineage: Eukaryota; Viridiplantae; Streptophyta; Magnoliopsida; Brassicales; Brassicaceae. The record is from RefSeq and is a predicted model, not a curated record. The transcript is spliced from 4 exons.